RNAcentral lists this ribosomal RNA (464 nucleotides) under uncultured bacterium. RNAcentral describes it as "partial 16S ribosomal RNA". It matches the Rfam family "Bacterial small subunit ribosomal RNA", at positions 28 to 507 of the family's 1533-position model. The record is from RNAcentral.
AUUGAACGCUGGCGGCAUGCUUUACACAUGCAAGUCGAACGGCAGCGCGGGCUUCGGGCUGGCGGCGAGUGGCGAACGGGGGAGUAAUGCAUCGGAACGUGCCCAGUAGUGGGGGAUAGCACGGCGAAAGCCGGAUUAAUACCGCAUACGACCUGAGGGUGAAAGCGGGGGACCGAAAGGCCUGGCGCUAUUGGAGCGGCCGAUGUCGGAUUAGCUAGUUGGUGGGGUAGAGGCUUACCAAGGCGACGAUCCGUAGCUGGUCUGAGAAGACGACCAGCCACACUGGGACUGAGACACGGCCCAGACUCCUACGGGAGGCAGCAGUGGGGAAUUUUGGACAAUGGGGGCAACCCUGAUCCAGCCAUGCCGCGUGCGGGAUGACGGCCUUCGGGUUGUAAACCGCUUUCGCCUGUGACGAAGCGUGAGUGACGGUAAUGGGUAAAGAAGCACCGGCUAACUACGUG